GGGAGUACGCCGGCAACGGUGAAACUCAAAGGAAUUGACGGGGGCCCGCACAAGCGGAGGAACAUGUGGUUUAAUUCGAUGAUACGCGAGGAACCUUACCCGGGCUUGAAUUGCGACUGACUGCAUCAGAGAUGAUGUUUCCAGCAAUGGCAGUCGUGAAGGUGCUGCAUGGUUGUCGUCAGCUCGUGCCGUGAGGUGUCGGCUUAAGUGCCAUAACGAGCGCAACCCUUUUCCCUGUUUGCCAUCGGGUAAUGCCGGGCACUCCAGGGAUACUGCCAUCGUAAGAUGUGAGGAAGGUGGGGAUGGCGUCAAAUCAGCACGGCCCUUACGUCCGGGGCUACACACGUGUUACAAUGGGCGGCACAGAGGGCAGCGACCGCGCGAGCGGCAGCCAAUCCCGAAAUCCGCUCUCAGUUCGGACUGGAGUCUGCAACCCGACUCCACGAAGCUGGAUUCGCUAGUAAUCGCGCAUCAGCCAUGGCGCGGUGAAUACGUUCCCGGGCCUUGCACACACCGCCCGUC
RNAcentral lists this ribosomal RNA (522 nucleotides) under uncultured bacterium. RNAcentral describes it as "bacterial SSU rRNA". It matches the Rfam family "Bacterial small subunit ribosomal RNA", at positions 876 to 1398 of the family's 1533-position model. The record is from RNAcentral.